This 492-nucleotide ribosomal RNA is filed under the name uncultured bacterium. Its description in RNAcentral is "partial 16S ribosomal RNA". It matches the Rfam family "Bacterial small subunit ribosomal RNA", at positions 29 to 507 of the family's 1533-position model. The record is from RNAcentral.
AGUGAACGCUGGCGGUAGGCCUAACACAUGCAGGUCGAACGGCAGCACAGUAAGAGCUUGCUCUUACGGGUGGCGAGUGGCGGACGGGUGAGGAAUACAUCGGAAUCUACUUUUUCGUGGGGGAUAACGUAGGGAAACUUACGCUAAUACCGCAUACGACCUACGGGUGAAAGCAGGGGAUCUUCGGACCUUGCGCGAUUGAAUGAGCCGAUGUCGGAUUAGCUAGUUGGCGGGGUAAAGGCCCACCAGGGCGACGAUCCGUAGCUGGUCUGAGAGGAUGAUCAGCCACACUGGAACUGAGACACGGUCCAGACUCCUACGGGAGGCAGCAGUGGGGAAUAUUGGACAAUGGGCGCAAGCCUGAUCCAGCCAUACCGCGUGGGUGAAGAAGGCCUUCGGGUUGUAAAGCCCUUUUGUUGGGAAAGAAAAGCAGCAGGUUAAUACCCCGCUGUUCUGACGGUACCCAAAGAAUAAGCACCGGCUAACUUCGUG